RNAcentral lists this ribosomal RNA (132 nucleotides) under Salmonella enterica. RNAcentral describes it as "partial 23S ribosomal RNA". It matches the Rfam family "Bacterial large subunit ribosomal RNA", at positions 2811 to 2925 of the family's 2925-position model. Lineage: Bacteria; Pseudomonadati; Pseudomonadota; Gammaproteobacteria; Enterobacterales; Enterobacteriaceae. The record is from RNAcentral.
CUCCCUGAGACUUAAAGUCUCCUGAAGGAACGUUGAAGACGACGACGUUGAUAGGCCGGGUGUGUAAGCGCAGCGAUGCGUUGAGCUAACCGGUACUAAUGAACCGUGAGGCUUAACCCUACAACGCCGAAG